This 101-nucleotide microRNA precursor is filed under the name Marmota monax (woodchuck). Lineage: Eukaryota; Metazoa; Chordata; Mammalia; Rodentia; Sciuridae. The record is from RNAcentral.
AGUGGGAUAGCUGGGUCAAAUGGUGGUUCCAUUCCAGGUUUUCUAAGGAAUCUCCAUACUGCUUUCCAUAUUGGCUGUACCAUUUUGUAGUUCCAAGCAAU